GGGUGGUACUACGGGGUACUACAGACACAACUCUACAAACAUGUACCAUUAUGAACUAUUUCAGAUUCUGGCCUUUGCGUGUGUAGUGUUGUAUGGUGCUCAGGUCCAAGGGCUAGAAUUCCCGACUCCCAUGUGUUCAACAGAUCCCAAAUCAACUGUCAGCCCAGGAGAUCCCAGACUUCCUAUUCUGCCCUCGGAGUUCGAAGUCCACGUGGAAGGUACAAUCAUUGACCAGUCGAUGACGGUGACGGCCGACGAGUAUGUAUCGGUGAUCAUUGGAGCAUCGUCCCUGCAGGUGACGCAGGGUGGGAAUAGCGAAACUGUUAUUCUCAACACCAACACAAACGAAAGUUAUCACAUUUUUGAUUCAGAGUGUACCGUGUAUAACAGGUCGACCGACGUUGUGGACGUGUUGAACGGGGGUUCGUCAGGCAUGUCGUCAAUGCCACAUACAUACUCCACAGCGUCUGUGCUCAAGUUCGCCCAGAAGUAUGGCGAGGUAUAUAAAGGCCAGAAAACCGUUCGGGGCAUUUCGUGUGAUCACUGGCAGUCGUGCAUGUACUGGGGGUUUCUCGGCGUCAACUUCACUCUCGACUACUACUUCUCUGUUUCCAACUGGACAACAGCAGACGGUUCUCCUCGAAUCCCGGUCAGGGCUGAAAUCAUCGGCUACCAGAAUUUGCUGGGCCCCGGACCCGAUUCGAGCUUUCAUCAUAUAUAUGACUAUACUGGCUUCAAGAGCUAUCUCACUGACAUAACAGUUUUUCAGACGCCAGUAGGUGUGGCCUGUGAAGGCCGCCGUCAGACACGCCGCAUGCCGCAGCUGAGGCAAAGGUACCGGUACAGACAGGAGGUGACACAUCUCAGCGAACAGAUGGUUUACCAAGAAGACGUGUGGUAUGACUACAACCUCCAACUCGUCCGCUGGGACCACCGCCCCACACACAAAGACAACCACUACAACACCCUGGACGCUAUCACCGAGAUUCACGACUUCAACACAGGUGUGGCUUAUGUUAUUUACAAAGACUUCCCUCGCUGCAACAUCUUUCCCAUACAGAACAAUACCUGGGAUGCAACUAGAAAUGCGUCAACGUCAUCACUGAGACUGAAGCAGCCAGAGGAAAUGUUCAGCCUGGAUUCAUCGUAUGCUUAUUCAGGACAGCGAACAGUCCGUGGAAUGGCCUGUGAUGUGUACUCAGCGGUUCGGGCGGACUAUGAGAGUCUCCGUGGUCUUAAUGUCACAUUUGAGAUCUAUUUCAUUAGCCAUGACUGGCAUAGUGCUAACGACAUCGGCACCGAACCCGACAGCACGGACACGCCUGUCAGACAACACAUAACAGAACCAACAACUGGUUAUGAAGUCAUCUACGACUAUUACGACUUCGACCAAACACAUCCAAAUGUCAUCAACGCCUUCGACAUCACGUCAUGCUACAGAGACAACCAAGAUAUAAACUUUCAGAUAACGUUCCCAGGUAAUACAAGUUCUAUUUUGCCCGCCCAAGAAAACGUCGUGCAUGACGUGGCAAGGAUGGACAUUGCCGGUGCAGCCCGAGUGACCCCUCUACGUAUUCAGGAUCUGGAAGUUCACUGGGAUGAGAACAAUACGUACAUCAUUGGGACAUUGCUGUAUCAGGCCCCUCUCACCGGUGGCGCUGACCACGAGGUGAGCAUUGGUCAGGCUUACACGGCUCUGGAUACUGCGGUGACAAGCGGUCAACUGGUUCUUGGUGUUCCCCAAGGAAAUACGAGCACUGUUCUUAACGCAACGAGCAUCACAACAGACAUCUGGAGGCAACAGACAUCAGCAGUGCAGUAUUCAUCCAAAUUAUCAGUCUUGCAUCAUUUCACGUUUUCUGCAAAUCGUGCAUUUCCCAGAGGGGAUGGUAAUAUGGUCCUAACCGGACUGUCACUAGAAGACUGCGCUGGUCAGUGUCUAGCUGCCUUGGUCUUCUCGUGCCGGACAUUUCAGUACCAACCAAGUAGUGGCAAGUGUUCCCUCACCUCUGACCUCCCUGACACAAGUCAUACAGCAAGCCACGUGGAGGCGUCGCAUGUCUACACACGCGAUUAUACACUGGGGUUUGGAGUGCUCUAUUCCACGUACAUCGGGAGCAAGUCCUUCUCAGAGACACACCCCAGCAUUCCCACGGUCAACUCGUGUGCACAGCUUUGUAUAGAUGCGUCGACGUCAAAACCAUGUACAUCUUUUAAUUACGCCCAGAAAUACGGCACGUGUGUCCUUGAGUCACAUGACCUGAACGACGUGUCCCCCUCUGAUGGUGUUUCAAGCACUAUCUGGAACCACUACUCACGUGACUACAGCUCAGACUUCAAGGAAAGCAAGGGGUAUACCAUAUCGCAAAAAGCUAAACUGACUAUUCAGCAAAGUUCGGUAACUGACUGCGCAAUGUUGUGCGUAGCAGAAACGGAUUUCUCGUGUGACAGCUUCAUAUUUUGCACGGAUCUCACGUGCAGACUCCAAACAGAGUCUCUUUUUGACGUGGAUCACGUGUCAGCUAUCCCGUUUGAUGGGUGCAGUAUUUACAACCGUAUGCAUUACCCGAAUGGGCGUCUCUACCUUCCACAUGAUCUCACGGCGAACACCUGUCUUCAGAGUAGCUACCAGCCCCAGUACAACUCAAGCAAUAACAGAUGGGCCAGCGAAUGUAACUGCACACACAGAAGCUCCCUCAUCAUCAGCGACACCGACAACCACGACUGGAUCGACAACAGCUACAUCCACAUCAACUACUAUCAAGGUGCAGAAACCUACUCCUUGUGCUUGUGUCUGCAACAGCCCCACAACGUCAGCUGCAUCCACAUCAGCUACUGUCAAGGCGGAGAAAACUACUCCAUGUGCUUGUGAAGGCAAAAGCUCUACGUUGUUAGCUGCAUCACCCUCCUCCACAAGAACGUUUACAGGAGGACACAAAACAUCACCGUCGUCGUCGGCGACGCAGUGUGGGGAAACGUCACCGUCAAAAUCUUCGCCAGCAACAG
This 3006-nucleotide unclassified non-coding RNA is filed under the name Haliotis rubra (blacklip abalone). Its description in RNAcentral is "uncharacterized LOC124255033, transcript variant X1". The record is from RNAcentral. Lineage: Eukaryota; Metazoa; Mollusca; Gastropoda; Lepetellida; Haliotidae.